Molecule: long non-coding RNA, 97 nt
Organism: Telopea speciosissima
Lineage: Eukaryota; Viridiplantae; Streptophyta; Magnoliopsida; Proteales; Proteaceae
Exons: 3
Source: RefSeq, a predicted model, not a curated record
AAAUUAAAGUAAUGUCCGAGUUAUUCUUUCAUGUGUUGUUAAUUUGGGAUGAAAACUACAACAACUUGAUGUCAAGAUUACAUUUCUGCAUGGUGAA